This 243-nucleotide ribosomal RNA is filed under the name uncultured bacterium. RNAcentral's name for it is "partial 16S ribosomal RNA". It matches the Rfam family "Bacterial small subunit ribosomal RNA", at positions 524 to 766 of the family's 1533-position model. The record is from RNAcentral.
UACGAAGGGGCUAGCGUUGCUCGGAAUCACUGGGCGUAAAGGGUGCGUAGGCGGGUCUUUUAAGUCAGGGUGAAAUCCUGGACUCAACUCCAGAACUGCCUUUGAUACUGAGGAUCUUGAGUUCGGGAGAGGUGAGUGGAACUGCGAAGUGUAGAGGUGAAAUUCGUAGAUAUUCGCAAGAACACCAGUGGCGAAGGCGGCUCACUGGCCCGAUACUGACGCUGAGGCACGGAAAGCGAUGGG